RNAcentral lists this ribosomal RNA (173 nucleotides) under Obesumbacterium proteus. RNAcentral describes it as "partial 16S ribosomal RNA". It matches the Rfam family "Bacterial small subunit ribosomal RNA", at positions 296 to 468 of the family's 1533-position model. The record is from RNAcentral. Lineage: Bacteria; Pseudomonadati; Pseudomonadota; Gammaproteobacteria; Enterobacterales; Hafniaceae.
GAGGUGAUCCAGCCACACUGGAACUGAGACACGGUCCAGACUCCUACGGGAGGCAGCAGUGGGGAAUAUUGCACAAUGGGCGCAAGCCUGAUGCAGCCAUGCCGCGUGUAUGAAGAAGGCCUUCGGGUUGUAAAGUACUUUCAGCGAGGAGGAAGGCAUUGUGGUUAAUAACC